Molecule: ribosomal RNA, 439 nt
Filed under: uncultured bacterium
Lineage: Bacteria
Description: partial 16S ribosomal RNA
Rfam family: Bacterial small subunit ribosomal RNA
Source: RNAcentral
CUACGGGACGCUCCAGUGAGGAAUAUUGCACAAUGGGGGGAACCCUGAUGCAGCAACGCCGCGUGGAGGAUGACACAUUUCGGUGUGUAAACUCCUUUUAUAUGUCAAGAAAAUGACGGUAGCAUAUGAAUAAGCACCGGCUAACUCCGUGCCAGCAGCCGCGGUAAUACGGAGGGUGCAAGCGUUACUUGGAAUCACUGGGCGUAAAGGACGCGUAGGCGGGUUGGAAAGUCAGGUGUGAAAUCCUACAGCUUAACUGUAGAACUGCACUUGAAACUUCUAAUCUAGAGUAUGGGAGGGGGAGAUGGAAUUAGUGGUGUAGGGGUAAAAUCCGUAGAUAUCACUAGGAAUACCUAAAGCGAAGGCGAUCUCCUGGAACAUUACUGACGCUAAGGCGUGAAAGCGUGGGGAGCAAACAGGAUUAGAUACCCCUGUAGUC